UGAGGAAUAUUGGUCAAUGGUCUGACGACUGAACCAGCCAUGCCGCGUGAAGGAAACGGCCCUAUGGGUCUUAAACUUCUUUUGUAAGGGAGCAAUAAGGUCUACGUGUAGACUGAUGAGAGUACCUUACGAAUAAGCAUCGGCUAACUCCGUGCCAGCAGCCGCGGUAAUACGGGGGAUGCAAGCGUUAUCCGGAUUUAUUGGGUUUAAAGGGUGCGUAGGCGGCUUAUUAAGUCAGCGGUGAAAUUUAGGGGCUCAACCUCUACCGUGCCGUUGAUACUGGUGAGCUGGAAUGCGGAUGCCGUGGGAGGAAUGUGUGGUGUAGCGGUGAAAUGCAUAGAUAUCACACAGAACACCGAUUGCGAAGGCAUCUCACGAAUCCGCAAUUGACGCUGAUGCACGAAAGCGUGGGGAUCAAACAGG
RNAcentral lists this ribosomal RNA (423 nucleotides) under uncultured prokaryote. Its description in RNAcentral is "bacterial SSU rRNA". It matches the Rfam family "Bacterial small subunit ribosomal RNA", at positions 355 to 776 of the family's 1533-position model. RNAcentral also lists the same sequence under 1 other name. The record is from RNAcentral.